AAUAUUUCACAAUGGGCGCAAGCCUGAUGCAGCAACGCCGCGUGCGCGACGAAGGCCUUCGGGUCGUACAACGCUUUUCGGGGAGAUGAGCACGGACAGUAACCCCGGAAGAAGGAACGGCUAACUUCGAUCCAGCAGCCGCGGUAAAACGUAGGAUCCGAGCGUUAACCGAAUUCACUGGGCUUAAAGCGCAUGCAGGCGGCCGCACAAGUUGGAUGUGAAAUCUCCCGGCUCAACUGGGAGGGGACGUUCAAAACUGUGCGGCUCGAGGGCGGUAGAGGAAGGUAGAAUUCCCGGUGUAGUGGUGAAAUGCGUAGAUAUCGGGAGGAAUACCCGUGGCGAAGGCGACCUUCUGGACCGUUUCUGACGCUCAGAUGCGAAAGCUAGGGGAGCGAACGGG
RNAcentral lists this ribosomal RNA (400 nucleotides) under uncultured bacterium. RNAcentral's name for it is "partial 16S ribosomal RNA". It matches the Rfam family "Bacterial small subunit ribosomal RNA", at positions 360 to 776 of the family's 1533-position model. The record is from RNAcentral.